AAGUUUGAUCAUGGCUCAGAUUGAACGCUGGCGGCAGGCCUAACACAUCCAAGUCGAACGGUAACAGAAAGCAGCUGCUGCUUUGCUGACGAGUGGCGGACGGGUGAGUAAUGUCUGGGAAACUGCCUGAUGGAGGGGGAUAACUACUGGAACGGUAGCUAAUACCGCAUAACGUCGCAAGACCAAAGAGGGGGACCUUCGGGCCUCUUGCCAUCGGAUGUGCCCAGAUGGAGAUUAGCUAGUAGUGGCGGUACGGCUACACCUAGGCGACGAUCCCUAGCUGGUCUGAGAGGAUUGACCAGCCACACUGGAACUGAGACACGGUCCAGACUCCUACGGGAGGCACAGUAGGGAAUAUUGCACAAUGGGCGCAAGCCUGAUGCAGCCAUGCCGCGUGUAUGAAGAAGGCCUUCGGGUUGUAAAGUACUUU
Molecule: ribosomal RNA, 430 nt
Filed under: uncultured Shigella sp.
Lineage: Bacteria; Pseudomonadati; Pseudomonadota; Gammaproteobacteria; Enterobacterales; Enterobacteriaceae
Description: bacterial SSU rRNA
Rfam family: Bacterial small subunit ribosomal RNA
Source: RNAcentral